RNAcentral lists this ribosomal RNA (433 nucleotides) under uncultured bacterium. RNAcentral describes it as "partial 16S ribosomal RNA". It matches the Rfam family "Bacterial small subunit ribosomal RNA", at positions 28 to 507 of the family's 1533-position model. The record is from RNAcentral.
GACGAACGCUGGCGGCAUGCCUAACACAUGCAAGUCGAACGAGACCUUCGGGUCUUUUGGCGCACGGCUGCGUAACGCGUGGGAACCUGCCCGUAGGUUCGGAAUAACUCCCCGAGAGGGGUGCUAAGACCGGAUAAUGUCUUCGCACCAAAGAGUUAUCGCCGUUGGAUGGGCGCUCGUGGGAUUAGCUAGUUGGUAGGGGAAAAGCCUACCAAGGCGAGGAUACAUAGCUGGUCAGAGAGGAUGAUCAGAAACACUGGAACUGAGACACGGCCCAGAAUCGGACGGAAGGGAGGAGUGGGGAAUAUAGUAGGAGGGAGGAAGGCGUGACAAAGCAACGCGGGGGAAGAGAUGCAGGGGGUAGGGAAGUAAAGCUGCUUUAGACGGGAUGAUAAUGACAGUAACGGGAGAAUAAGCACCGGCUAACUACGUG